Molecule: long non-coding RNA, 853 nt
Filed under: Phoenix dactylifera (date palm)
Lineage: Eukaryota; Viridiplantae; Streptophyta; Magnoliopsida; Arecales; Arecaceae
Description: long non-coding RNA (PDAC_LNC008428)
Source: RNAcentral
UGUUUGAAGGCUGGAUGUAUUGGCAGGUUAUGGAUUCUUUGGAUGAUGCGGGCAAAAUCUGGGAGGAAGAGCUUGGAUGCUGUGAAGCUCGGGAAGAUGAAGCCGAAUCGUGAACAACGCGGAAUGAAGUUAAUCUGGAAUGAGAGGAAAUCUUGGGAGUUCGGAAGAAGAAAAGAUGACCCGUGAGCUGGUGUGUUCUGUUUCCGAGAAGUCCGGGAAGAAGAAUCAGAAGCCAUGAAGUUGGGAUUUGAGGUUGAGCUGGGAGCGAAAGGAGUUGCUUUGAUUCGUGAUGACGAGGAGAUGGUUUAGGAUGCGGGAGAUCGCUUCCGGCUGAGAUGCGGCUGGGAGGAAGUUGUUCCGAAACAGGGAAAGAUGAAUCUGAUGAUGUUAGGAAUGAAUGGAAUCUAGGACGGCUGGAAGGAAAUCCGGAAUAAUGUUGGAUUCAGCUCUAUCUUGGGAGGAUAAGCUCGGGAAGCAUAGAAGCAGGGGAUAAGCUGGAGCUUUGAAUGUNNNNNNNNNNNNNNNNNNNNNNNNNNNNNNNNNNNNNNCGUGGAAGAAGUUGGGGAUCCGGUCGUGAAAGAAGGAAAUGUGGCGGACGGCUGGGAAGUCAUUGUUUGUUCAUGGGAUAUGGGAGAUCACAAGCGGUCCAUAUCCAUUCAGCUGGGAAGAAAUCUAGAACAACUUUGUUCUUUGGACAUGGGAGUUUGGUCACGGUUGGCUAUGAUGUGCAGGAAGAAUAGAAUCGUGAGACAUGGCGGUCGGCUGGGAAGUCUUGGGAGGCAUCUCGGAAUAUCCGGACACGGGAGGAUAUGGCUCACGAACGGGAUGCACGGAGACUCGUGAAAGGAAUUUG